Non-coding RNA from Apodospora peruviana, 101 nucleotides. NCBI's taxonomy places the organism in Eukaryota, Fungi, Ascomycota, Sordariomycetes, Sordariales, Lasiosphaeriaceae. The record is from the annotation of a GenBank genome assembly.
GGGAAGAUGACCGAGUGGUCAAAUGCAGGUAUUCAACCUUCAAACAGCAAUCCUGGAUUCCGAAGUCCGAAAUGGCGUGGGUUCAAAUCCCACUCUUGUCA